Molecule: long non-coding RNA, 5650 nt
Filed under: Homo sapiens (human)
Lineage: Eukaryota; Metazoa; Chordata; Mammalia; Primates; Hominidae
Description: non-protein coding lnc-RUBCN-2:1
Source: RNAcentral
CUUGGCCCUUGGCCGCCUACUCCUACCGCCCCGGCCUUGGGCGGCCCUGGGCCUGCUGCGGGCGCGGCGCUGCCCGACCAGAGCUUCCUGUGGAACGUCUUCCAGAGCUGCCACCUGGCACCGCCCCGGCACCUCCCGCCUCCCCCGCAGCUGCCCCGGACCCGUGUCCCGACCCCCGCGGCCAACCCCGUUCCCUGCCGGUUGCCCCGCGGCCUCCCCCGUCACCUGCCGGGUCCCCAGCGGCCUCCCCCGUCCCCUGCCCCGACCUCCGCCGUCUCCCCCGCCCCUGCCCGGACCCCCGCGGGCGCCCCCGAACCCUACCCCGACCGACGCGGCCGCCCCCAUCCCCUGCCCCGACCCCCGCGGCCGCCCCCAUCCCCUUCCGGGUCCCCCGCGGUCUCCCCCGUCCGCUGCCCGGUCUCCUGGGGCCGCCCCUGCCUCCUGCCCGGUCCCUGUCCUGUGCGUCGGGCCCUUCCCAAGGUGCAGAGGGCGCCACUGCAGACCCGAGGUCGCGGCCACCGGCUCCUGGGCCAGGCCCUGUUUCUCGCCUCGAGCCGUCGGGGGAGGGUCUCCAGGGUGCUUGUUUGGGGAAAGCGGAAACAGACUGUCUGGGCCGCUGUUAAAAUGUCAGCAGCCAAGGAAGAAGCAGCGACCUGGCGUCUGCUCGGGCCAGGUGACCUUUAUGGCGGCGCCUUCUGUCCCUGGUCGCUUUUCCACUGAAUGAAUGACCGAAACUGUAGUAACUCAUGGCCAGGGAAUGGCUUAGUUAUCUGAGGGAAUCUUGUCUUGUCUGUGAAAAAGGGAAACUGGUGCAAAUGGGAAUUCAGACAGGUCAGGAGGGGAAGGAAGGGAAGGAUUGAGGUGGGAAAAGAGAGAGAAAGAUGAUUGGCCUCUUAGGGGAAGAACACACUUGGACGUGGCUCCUGGGGCACUUCCUUGAUUCCGCUGUACUCGUCAGCGGGACCGGAGAGGCGGAGGUUCCAGGAGGGAGCCUUCCAGAGUCGGUGCAGGGUUGACAGGAGACGUUUGUUUUGCUUUUCCUGAACUUUCGAUCGCCAGCUUGUUUGGUCUUCUUGAUGUUAUAGGGUUGAUAGAGAGGAGUGGAGUGAUAUCGGACACCCAGCUUCGGCAAGCUCUCUCCAAGGGUGAGUGGGCCAGUGGGACCUGGGUCUCCGGACCAAGAAGCCGCGAGCCUGCCCUGCUCACAGUGGAUAACUUUCUUUCUGAAGUUGAUUUUCCAAGGACAAAGGAAUCAUUAGGGCAAAUUAUUAUUACUGCUUCAUGGUGGAGAUGCUUCUGGUUUAUUCUGUGGCUACCGCUGUUACUGCUUGGAGUGCCUCACCGAGCCAGCUAACAACGGCGUGCGUGAGCACAGGGAAAGGCUUCUUGAGAAAUGAAAACUAGGUUGUAGGUUUAGGAGGGGAAUAGGAAGGUUAGCUCUGUCCAGCCGAAAGCCUUUUGGUAAGUUGGGGGUCCUUGAAUUUCCUGGGUGACUGCAUCUUGGUGACUUCUCUGAAUAGACCUUCGAGGGCACUGGGGGGUGAUUGUUGGAGGGCUUGGGGAGCUCAGGCAGCACUUGUGUGGGAACGUGGCUGUUACAGGAACUGCAGAAACUGGGACUGGGUUCCUGGGGAAAGGAUUGGGGGUGUUGGAGGCGCUGGCAGGGGAGUUAUGGGGAGGCGUUCUUAUCAGUGUGCGAAUAUUGGGCGUUCAGGCAGCGGGAAAUCCGGGUCCUUGCGUGUUGUGAGCUCCCUGGAGUUACGUUCUUGCCAGUUUCAGCUCAAUUGAUCCCCCUCCCCUGAGCUAUCAUUGGAUACAUUUUACUUCAUUGAACACCUGACUGCUGCUUUUUCUGUAAUCCCUCAGGGGCAGUCAUCUUUUCUGAUUCUGUGUGUAGUUUGCCUUUCCAGAUCCGUGCCAUUUAAGCUAGAAAAGGGGUCAGUUUUGAGAUGUUGUGAAAAUGUUGAAAGGCUCCUCGUUAUUAGUGGGAAGUAUCUGAUGUUGCCAGAGACUGAACUGGGGCGCGGGGAGCACUACGGCUGCUAGACACUGCCUCACUGCGCUGUGGGUGGGGGAGGUGCUGGAUUCAGUCUUACUGCCUAAUGAUUUGUGAGGAUUUGUGUUUUCAGAGUAACAUGUUUACCUUAUGUUAUCAGUUCCUAAUAUGUGACGUAUGGGCCACAGAUGCUGGUGUAUUAUUUCACAUGCAUUUAUAUAGAUUGUUUUCAGGGAAUUCAGAAAUUCUGUUAUCUCUACACUAGUGAUUGUGCUUUCUUGAUUUUUCUCUUUUCAUUAUUCUUAAAUCCUCCCUUUUUUAAUUUGCAUCUCAGUUCGUUUAUACUCGGGAAGUGCAAGACAUGGCUACUAGAAAGAGAUGUCAAGAGAACCGGAAUCCAGUAGGCUACAAUUUGGCAAAUCUUAGCUUAAAACUUCCUAAAUGUUGACCACAGUGGAUGCAAAUGGCUCUGUGCAUCGUCUGUUCAAUAUGGUCAGGUGACCACCCAGGUUCACGUGGUUUGUCACCAGGGUGACACGAGCCACACGGAGUGCCCUCCUCAGAGGCCAUGUCUCAGAGACGUUUAUUUUGAGUGGUUUUCCAGCGAGUGAUGCAAGAUUUAUGAUCCAUUUUAACAGCUGCUUUUUAUGCAUUUGCUCAAAUUUUUAGAUUUUAAGUUUAGUUUUAGGUUUUCUGUUAAACUUGCUCAACUAGGAGUGGUGGUCAAAUACUGGACCUCAUUAGCAUGGUAGCCUGCCCUCCUUGGCAGGCUCCACUGGAGUGCCUUGGGGCCUGCCUGGAUUCCAGUCCUGGCUCUACCAGUUUUGUGUCCUCGCCGUUACUGGGAGGGAGUAUUGAGGAAAUGCAUGCGAGGUGCUUCCGUGAUUCCUGGCACAGAGCAAGUGCUCAGUAAUUGUCAGCUGUGAGUAUUAGUAGUAGCUAAUACACUACUACUAUUCUUGGCUAACAAGCCAGCUCAAAGCUUUGAUAGUUUUCCAUUACCUGAUGAUGGUGAUGAUGGUUUCCACUUCCUGAACACUCACACCCCUGGGCUAGGCACUUAACCCAAAUCCAAGGUCAGCGUUAUUGUUUGGGGGUGGGGGAGACACCUCCUGCUCUGACUCGUGUGUUUGGGUUCCCGUAUUUUCACCAGAGGGUGUUAGUUCUGCCCAAGUUCAGCUGGUCCUCAAAGUGUAUAUAGCUCUUUAACCAUCAGCAAGUGUCAGUCAGAACAUAAUCUUGAUUUCAGCUGCUACUAAAUAUCUACCAGGAGCCUGCUUGAGAGAGAGAAUUGCCUGACAGGUGCUGAGUCCACCAUUCCUGAGACACUUUGAAAUCAGUGUCUGACUUAACCCAAGCUGUGUAUGGGGACCCUCUCACCGUGGUCCCAAUGGAGUCGCUUUUGUUAGGCGCCCCCCUUUACCUUGGGCUCUGAGCUUCCUCUGCCUUUCAUCUCUGCAGGAUGAAGCCCCACCCGCUGUACAGGAUGCAAAGCCCUCCUCUAUAAAGUGCGUGCGGGGCCAGAUGCAGUGGCUCACGUCUGACCUCCCAACACUUUGGGAGGCCGAGGCAGGGGCAUCGUUUGAGACCAGCCUGGACAACAUUGUGAGACCCUGUUCCUUGAAUUGCCCUGGGAGAUUUCCUCAGCUUGUACUGGAGGUGUGUGGCCCCAUGAAGCCCAUAGUCACCGUUCACCCUGAGAGACGCUGGCUUUGGGGCUCACAUGCCUGCUGCGGGGCAGCCCCAGGAGAUGGCCACCCUGUUUCUCCUGGAGCUGGAGCUGCGCGUGUUCUCAGCAACUGUGGUGGCUGUCCUGUUUUGUUUGCAUCUUAUAAACCUUUACCUGAUUACAUUUUCCUCUUCAAUUUAGCUGCUAGAAAACUUAAAGUCAGAUUGGUGGCUCACCAGUAAUGAGAGUUUAGAGUAGAGGUAAACUUUAUGACAUAGUCUUAGACUCUUCACUUUCUCCUCAGCCAACAUGAUUCACAUUUACUUUAUUUUGCUGUACUGUGAGUGUCUUUGUGUUUCCUGAAUUCCUUCUGGAAUAAGGCAGGUUGUUAGUAAGCACAGGUUUCUGGUCCAUCUCAUAGCCUCAGGCAGUGGGCGGUGCUGUCCGUGCUCCCUUUCUGGGUUACCUGUGGUAGCUCUGAAGUUGCAGGGCUGCGAUUUGAAGCCUGAUUUAGUACACCGUGUUUCUGUUGUGUUCUGUGGUGGUUUGCUCCUCACAUGUGAGCAUUCACCCUGUGGCCCUGUGUUUUUCCACCACACCUCUGCCUGGUGGCAUCCUACUGGAUGUCUCAGCCGAGCCACUCUGUUCUGAAGACGCCCUUGUCCUCCACCCCUUUGCUUUGGGCUCUGAGCUUCUUCUGCCUUUCAUCUCUGUAGGAUGAAGCCCCACCCGCCCUUCAGGAUGCCAGCCUUGGCAACAUUGUGAGACCCUGUUUCUACAAAAAGUAAACGUGUAGUGGUGCACGCCUGUAGUUCUAGCUACUUGGGAGGCUGAGAUGGGAAGAUCACUUCAGCCUGGGAGGUUGAGGCUGCAUUGAGCUGAGAUCAAGCCACGGCACUCCAGCCUGGGAGACAGAGCGAAACCCCAUCUCAAAAAAACAAAGAAAGUGGAUGCACGCUGCUCCUGCCAUUGGAUCAUCGCAGCAUUUUUCUUUUCUCUGAUAUGCGCCUUUUUCCUCAUCGUGGGGGCUCAUGUUUUUGUACUUUCCUCUCGCUACUAGAUUGUGAGCUGCGUGAAGGAAGGUUCAUAGUUGUGUUGUAUGUACAGGCACACAAAAUUUGUCCUUGGAUAGACACAUAUCAAUCCGCUUCCUUCUCCUCUCUGAAGUUCUUUAUUUAAAAAAAAAAAUUAGAGAUGGAGUCUCACUGUCUUGCCCAGGCUGGUCUCAAACUCCUAGGCUCAAGCGAUCCUCCCGCCUCUACUAAUAUGAAUUAUUAGCCUAUACUAAUAUGAAUUCCUAUACUAAUAUGAUUGAAAUUAGUUUGACUUGUAUAAUAAUUGUUCUCCCAGAUUGGCCUUCUGUUUUGAUAGUAGAACUAAAUUAUUAGGCUAUUUCAAGAAAUUAAUAUAUUACUGGUAGAAAAACUGAAGCUACAAAAUGGCCUGGUUUCUCACUUCAGUUAAAUUUGUGCUUCUGAGUGCUUGUAUUGUAGGUGAAACCGCACUGAGAAGGUAUUUGUGGCCCGUAUGCUGAUUGAUUGAUGAGACUUCUUUGCACAGGAGAGCUGCUAAAAAUUACUGCGGUGAACAGGUAUGAAGAAGACUGUUCUCUGCCCUUCUUUUUGCAAUAAAAUGUUACAAACUAUCUUGAGAUUGAUCCCUUUUCGGGUGUUUGGGUUUUUUUUAACAUUCACAUAUUUCUUGGAAUUAUAAGAAAUUAACUUUGUGCUUCUGAAGUGGGUUUCCCUUAAUAUAACACUGAUGUAUUUGUAAGGGGCAUUUUUAAAGUUGUACUUUAAAAAAUAAUAAUUCUUACAUUCGUUUGAAGGUUUUUUGUUUGUUUGUUUGUUUGUUUUUGAGAUGAAGGCUUGCCCUGUCACCCAGGCUGGAGUGCAGUGGCAUUGAUCUUGGCUCACUGCAACCUCUGCAUCUGGAGUUCAAGCAAUUCUCCUGCCUCAGCCUCCUGAGUAGCUGGGACUACAGGC